GGAAGCACUACGGUCGCUGGUGGGCCAGCCGGUCUUCAAAACCGGUUGGGUGGAUGAGAAAUUUCCCCGGUGGGUUCGAUUCCCAUGUGCGCCA
Molecule: transfer RNA, 94 nt
Filed under: Oryzomonas sp.
Lineage: Bacteria; Pseudomonadati; Thermodesulfobacteriota; Desulfuromonadia; Geobacterales; Geobacteraceae
Description: tRNA-Sec
Rfam family: Selenocysteine transfer RNA
Source: RNAcentral